Molecule: ribosomal RNA, 279 nt
Filed under: Foraminifera environmental sample
Lineage: Eukaryota; Foraminifera
Description: partial Bacterial large subunit ribosomal RNA
Rfam family: Bacterial large subunit ribosomal RNA
Source: RNAcentral
GGUUACUGACGUUAACCAAACUCCGAAUGGGUGUAAGUGAGAGCGCGGCAGUGAGACUGCGGGGGAUAAGCUCCGUGGUCGAGAGGGAAACAGCCCAGAUCAUCAGCUAAGGCCCCUAAGUGGUGACUCAGUGGAAAAGGAUGUGGAGUUGCAGUGACAACCAGGAGGUUGGCUUGGAAGCAGCCAUCCUUGAAAGAGUGCGUAAUAGCUCACUGGUCAAGUGAUUCCGCGCCGACAAUGUAGCGGGGCUCAAGUCAUCCGCCGAAGCUAUGGCAUUCG